GGGGAAUCUUCCGCAAUGGGCGAAAGCCUGACGGAGCAAUACCGCGUGCGGGACGAAGGCUUUUGGGUCGUAAACCGCUUUUGUUAGGGAAGAAGAACUGACGGUACCUAACGAAUCAGCAUCGGCUAACUCCGUGCCAGCAGCCGCGGUAAUACGGGGGAUGCAAGCGUUGUCCGGAAUUAUUGGGCGUAAAGCGUCCGCAGGUGGUUUAUCAAGUCUGCUGUCAAAGCGUGGGGCUUAACCCCAUAAAGGCAGUGGAAACUGAGAGACUAGAGUACGGUAGGGGUAGCGGGAAUUCCCAGUGUAGCGGUGAAAUGCGUAGAUAUUGGGAAGAACACCAGCGGCGAAGGCGCGCUACUGGGCCGAAACUGACACUCAUGGACGAAAGCUAGGGGAGCGAAAGGGAUUAGAUACCCCUGUAGUCCUAGCUGUAAACGAUGACAACUAGGUGUUGCGCGUAUCGACCCGUGCAGUGCCGUAGCUAACGCGUUAAGUUGUCC
This 500-nucleotide ribosomal RNA is filed under the name uncultured cyanobacterium. RNAcentral describes it as "bacterial SSU rRNA". It matches the Rfam family "Bacterial small subunit ribosomal RNA", at positions 356 to 870 of the family's 1533-position model. The record is from RNAcentral. Lineage: Bacteria; Bacillati; Cyanobacteriota.